UCCUGGUCUUAAUUGGCCGG
This 20-nucleotide non-coding RNA is filed under the name Arabidopsis thaliana (thale cress). The record is from RNAcentral. Lineage: Eukaryota; Viridiplantae; Streptophyta; Magnoliopsida; Brassicales; Brassicaceae.